GCGCCGGCUGCCCGAGGCGGCUGGGCGAUUGGUGGGGGGGUGGGGUGUCUCAAGUAGGGCCUCAAGCCUAGCCUUCGUGCUUUUCGCAGCCCCGGGAACAAAUUUCCCUAAGGGCCGCGUGAGGAGGGGGCAUAGCGGGGUACCAUAUAUAGGGAUUUCUAAUUUUAAGGACUCAUUGAUCAUCUGCAGAGUUUGAGAAUUCUACAGAGCGUUUAGACUUGAUUACAUGAUUACCAUUAUUUGGGGUGGUAAUGAAGUGACUUGGAAGAAUAGCAAAAUAAGGAUCAAUGAGGAAGACAGCAAAUUUCACACCAGUGUAAUUGGGUUACCAGUUGACUCAAGGAUGAGUAGAUUGUACUUCAAAUUAUACAGAUUAAAAACUCAAAGAUGACCUUGUAA
Non-coding RNA from Pantherophis guttatus, 399 nucleotides. Lineage: Eukaryota; Metazoa; Chordata; Lepidosauria; Squamata; Colubridae. The record is from RefSeq and is a predicted model, not a curated record.